GCCCCAAAGAAGAGGUUGAGUCUUUCUCCUUUGCCUGUGGUUUGUGUCUAUUGGAAAUACAGUUAAAUGGUAGAAUCAUGAAAUUGUUUGGGUUGGAGGGGACCUUAUAGAUAUCCAGUUUCACCUUCCACUAGCCUAGGUUGUUCCAAGCCCCAUGCAACCUGGCCUUGGCACUCCAAGGAUGGAUCAGCAGCAGCUUCUGUGGGCAACCUGAGCCAGGGCCCCAGCACCCUUCCAGGUGUGAUAGAUAAUUAAUGAUAAAGCCAAAUCAAUAUUUUUAUUUCACUACCUAGGUUUGGUCUCUGAUAGCCACAAUGAAAGGGUCAGCGUCGAGCCCGGGAUCAGUGCUGGAUGAACACAGAUUCGAACUCUACUGCCUAGAAUGCCCCUGUUACCAAAUACUGUCUCUGUCAGGCGGGCUUUAUACUGUUUAUUUCGCCUGGGACAGUUUCUUCUGUUCUUCUCCUUGCUGUACAUAUCCAUGUAGUUUCCUUUUCUCUGUGCUGGGCUGGACAAUGCCUGUUCUGGGAAGUGGUGAAUGCUGAUGGAGUUAAGGGAAUCUGGUACUGGCAUGCACAUCCUUGAAGAUGCUGACUAUCUUGAUCAUGGAUACUUGUCAGGUAUACUUGGAUGUCUCUGGACUGUCCCAGGAAAGGGCCCAUCUCCACACAAACCAUGUCUUUUUGUUUGCUAAUUAGGUUCUCUUCUUUGCUGCUGUCUGAUUUCACAAUUGGUGAGGCAAUCUCCUUCCCCUGCUGUGGCUUGUGGUUUUGAAAUCUUGAAUCUUUAACAGGCACAACUUAUUUCAUGUAUAUUUUACAAAGAAGAGACAAGGAUGUUUAAUUCCACUCCAUUGAAGGGCAGUGCAAGGAUAACCUUUGGUGAAUGCUCUGACACAUUAAAACCUUCACAGGAAAGAAGGGGUUUCUCUUACUGCUGGUUUCAAGAUGCCUCAGGAAACAGUUUGGGAAAUCAUGGAAAAACAGGAGGACAGCUGAGCAGUAGAACAAAAAGUCCUACAGUCGAUGAAUGCUUUGGGCAUCUUGCACCUGGUGGGCCCAAAGCCCUGGGAACAGUAAACAGAAAUAUAAAAGAGAAACCAGAAAAAAUGUUGUGCUUUGUCUAAAGCAAAUCAUGCAAGACUGUGGUUAAGCAACGUUACCAGGAAACAUAAAUAUUGUGGUUAUCGCUUUGGCAGUGGAAAAUUCUACCCGAAGCUGUAAGAGUACACAAACUGAGCUGUAGAAACAAUACGUUGGCUUCUUGCUUGCACCAAGUCCCUCACUCACUGCCAGACCUCAGAAACUGUUAAGGGAUUUUUGUGGUGCUGCAAUGGCCUCCGAUGGGAAAAUUGAGGAAAAAACCCAAACUCCAAGUCUGGAGGCUGAUGGUGGAGAGGAGAAUGAAUGUUAUCAUAGAAUUGGGACAAUUCUGGCUGUAAAAUGAGAACUGUGUGUGAUAAUGAUUUGUGCUAACUAAAUUAUAACAAUUAUUUUUUAAAAUAUUGCUACAGUUACAAAGUAAUAAAAUAUGUAGGAUUGAGGAAAGCAAGAUCCCAAAACAGAAUGGCCUUGGUAUGAACAAAGUCCUUUGUUACAUGUGGAAAAACAGGAUACAGGAUGUAGUGUUGAGAUGAGCAAGAUUCCAAAACAGAAUUGGCCUUGGGCUGAACUAAGUUGGGAUGAUUCCAGCCCAGCACAGAGAAAGGAGACUACAUAAAUAUGUGAAGCCAUGAAAUGAAAGACUCUUCCCCAGGCAGAAAAAGCUGUAUAAAAACUACCUGGACAGGAGCAGCCUUCGCGAGCAGAGGGGAUCCAAAGCGAUAGAGUUCGGAUCAGAGUUCACCAGUGCCAAUUCCAGGCUCGAUGCUGUCCCUUUGAUUUGGGCUAUUGGAGACUGAAUCUCAGUCACAAAAUAAAACCUAUUUCAUUAAUUAUUAAUUUGGCUUUAUCAUUUAUUACCUAUAACACUCAGAAUAAGAGGAACUGGUGAGGACAUGCAGGAGGAGCCUUUUAAGGGGCAGUGUUCAGCUGGUGGGCACUGACUGGGUCAGAAAGGAAUUCAUCUUGCAAAAGUCUCCAUCAAGUUUAAUUUUCUAGCGUCCUCGCAGCACGGUGAGCUCUGGCUUGGAAGCGCCGCCCCCACUGCCCACUUUCACCCCCUAUGUGGACGAGUCAGCUCAGCCCCAAAUGAUGAUGAGCUGAAUGGAAUUGAACGUUUGAGUGAGGAUGCAAUUGUGAGCGGCUCCUACAAGAACAAGACCCUUUGUGCCAACCCAGAGGACACGUGUGACUUUAACAGGGCUGCCCAGCUGGCCUCGACGCCCUUUCACGGGGUGGUAGCUCAGAGAGUGCCAGCUCCUGCUUUCUCUCAGGGUGAGCUGAAGGAAGAUAGCCCAGAAUCCAAGAGUGCACCUCUGAAUCAGGAGACACUGGUGUGUGUGUGAAGUGUGGAGCACUGCAAAGGUUGAGGCUCAAAAUUAAGAAGGUGAGCCACUGGGGACAAUGGGAUCUCAACUGUCAACCAAAAAAAAAGCUGCCGUGGCAGCAGAAGAAAAAGCUAUAGUGAACGCAUGGACCCUUAUGUUGCACCUGCAAGGGAUAAAAUGCAAUAAAAAGGCUCUGUGCACUUUAUUGCAGUGGUGUCGGAACCAUGGGGUAGAUGCCAGCGUAAGAGCUGCAUUUAUUGUUAAAAACUGGGAACAGGCUGGUGAAUUGAUUUUUGAAUCAGCUUCUCGAGGAGAUGAGACUGCUAAAAAUAUUAUGACUACCUGGAGGCUCGUGCUGGAUACCUUGAAACUGCUGAAACCUGAGCAACAUGCAAAAACAGCAGCUGAGGCACCGCAGGCACCACUUGCCAAGACUCCCAGUGAUAGUGGAGCUCAAGAGGGAGCAGCGGGGGGAGUAGAAGCCACAUCGAGUUUGCAGGUGGAAAGGACGGGGGAAAACCUAGAAGGGAAGCAGCUGUCAUCCACGCCUCCUAUCCCUGCAACUCUGCCCACGCCGUGUGCCCCUACACCCCCGUGUCCUGCACCUCCAGUUACCACAAACCCAUCCUCUCCUCCUCUGCCUACGGCUGGCCGGAGUGAUGAUAAACUUCUGUCAACAGCCCCGCCAGUGCUUGAUAGGCCUAAUCACAACCUCGGCAUGGAAAUAGGAGCCGGCAGCCAAGCGGCACUCGGUGCUGAGAGUUCCGGCAGGGAGCUGCCAGCACCUGGAGUGGAGGGACACCACAUCCCAUCAUGUCCACAGCCAAAGCCUGAGAGGCCUAAGGAACCCCCUCCAUUAGUAGAUUUGUGGGAUCCUAACAGGGGAGGCCCAAGUUGUCACACCCCUGCUGGCCCUCAGGAGGAUGCUUUUACCAUGCGACCAGUACCAGCUACUGUCUCCGGAUGCAAUCGGGUUAGAUUUUGGCACUAUGUUAAAUUAAACUUUCUUGCUAGUGGGGAUCUUGAAGUUGCUGAACGACUUUCUGCACCACUAUCCCGGCUGUUCUUGGGUGGCCAAGAGCUUGUGUGUGGGACGACUGGCACUACUGUCUCAGCAUACAAUCCAGUUCGCUUUUGGGAACGUAUGCAAUUAAUGGCACUUGCUAGUGGAGAUUACAAAGUUGCUGAACGAAUUUCUGUACCUAAGCUCCCGCUGUCCUUGGGUGACCAAGAACUGGAAGACGAUUGGACUGAGCCCUAUAUUCAUGUCACCUUUAAAAUUCUCUCCCAGUUAUGCCAACUAGCCACCCAACAUGGACUGGGGUCUCCGGUCGUAACAAGGAUGUUACGGCUUCUAGCUGAAGCUGAAAUGACACCCUUUGAUAUCAAGCAAAUAGCAGGGUUGCUCUGUACCCCGAUGGAAUACAUGGUGUUUGAGUCCACCUGGAAGCAGCAUGCAGAAAAGCAAGGGCUGCAUAAUUUAGUGGUGCCGCAGCAAGAUCCGUGUUUUGGGGCAGGGGUCCCUGAACUUCUGGGAUUGCCUCCCAUAAAUAACCCACAGGUGCAAGCACGCCUAAAUCCUUUGAUAUUGGCACAGGCAAGAGAUUUAGGAAUGCAGGCCCUGAUGAAAGUUGGAAACAUGGCAUUGGCAACUCCAACUCAGAGUUUUGCAAAAAUUAAGCAGGGCCCCAAAGAGCCUUAUGUGGAAUUUAUAGAACGAUUAAAAGAUGCCAUGGAAAAGCAAAUAGCAAAUGACGAUGCAAAAAAUCUGUUGAUGUUGUCAUUGGCACGAGACAAUGCAAAUGAAGAUUGCAAGAAAGCUAUAGACUUAUUACCAAGAAAAAAUCCAUCCUUAGAUGAAAUGAUUAAUGCGUGUGCUGAAGUUGGAACUCUAUCUUAUGAAGUGUCUCUGUUAGCUGAUUCCUUGGCAGCUGCUCUAAGGUCGUACCAAUGCUAUGGAUGCGGGCAACUAGGUCACAAGAAAGCAAAUUGUCCCCAUAGGUACAACUCAUGGGGGACACGUCAGAAACAGAGAGCUGGGCCUGUAGUGGGAAGCUGUUACCGGUGUGGAAAACCCGGUCAUUUCGCCAAGCAAUGCAAGUCUAAAUUCCACGCCAACGGACAACCUCUCAGUGGACAGGGAAACUGGAACAGGAGUGCCAAGGGGAAGUGCUUGCAGACACGAGUACCUUCCCGUCCCUCAGUGCAGGCCUAUGGAACCAGGUCACAGGGACGGCAGGAGGAUCAGCUGGCAUGGAUGUAUCUGUCCCUGGCAUUAUAACUUAGAGACUCAUUAAAGGUUUAUAAAAUCCCCCUCGAGGCCCAUGGGUCUGCUGGGGAAGGAUUAAGUACAUUACUAUUAAGAUGAUCAAGAGCAAUGUUACAGGGUUUUUUUGUCCACCCUGGAGUUACAGAUGCAGACUAUACUGGACAAAUAUGUGCUAUGGUAUCAACACCUCCUCCUCCUCCUCCUGUACCCCUUCCAGCUAAAAGUCUUACUGUUCAACUUGUACCUUUUAAGUCUUGUGUUCCUAAAACAGACUCAAAGCUGCGAGAAAACAGAGGCUUUGGCUCGACGGGGGAACCUGAAGUAUACUGGACUCAGAUUGUAUCUGAUCAAAGACCAAACAUGGUUUGUACUCUUGCAAUGCCUCAGGCAAAUCCAUCCCACAUCAAGGUUAGUGGGAUGACAGAUACUGGAGCAGAUGUUACUAUGAUAUCUGCUAACACAUGGCCUCAGUCAUCGCCCACCACAGCUGUAGGAUCUGUUGUUCCCAGCCUUGGAGGUACCACACAAAGUUAGUUGAGUAGUAAGCCUGUGUUAGUUAAAAAUCCAGAACAGACAGCCACAGUCCAUCCCUGUGCUGCUGCUGUGCCACUCACCUAUGGGGAAGGGAUGUCAUGUCAGCGUGGGGGGUUUGGCUGGGAACAGAUUUUUGACAGGGGCCACUGUCUGAAGGGUGUAAAGCAUCCUACAUUAGCCUUAAAAUGACUCGCCAGAUGACCUGUGUGGGUUGAUUGGUGGCCCCUUGAAAAAGUAAAACUGAAUGCUCUUUAAUUGUUGGUCAAAGAGCAAUUAAAUCAAGGACAUAUUGAGUCAUCAGCAAGUCCAUGGCACACUUCUGUGUUUAUGAUUAAAAAGAAAUCAGGUAAAUGAAAGUUAUUCCAUGUCUUAAGAAAAAUUUAUACAGUUCUGGAAAGUAUGGGUGCUUUAUAGCCUUGAAUGCCAUCCCCUACUAUGAUACCUGCUACUUGGGACAUUUUGAUUGUUGAUUGAAAAAACUGUUUCUUCACCAUUCCUUUACAUCCUGAUGAUAUCUCAAAUUUGUAUUUACAGUGUUCUUUGUCAAUCGUGUAGCAAAGAAGGCCUUUUACAGAUUCAGCCAAAAUUGAUGCAAACUUUUGGCUGCAAGAAUUCAGGUUGCAAAUUGCGCCUGAAGAGGUGCAACAAGAACCCCCAUGGAAAUACCUAGGAUUUAAAAUGUUAGAUCAGACAAUACAGCCACAAACAAUUCCAUUUUCAACCAAGAUCCAAACAUUAAAUGGUGUACAAAAUCUUUUAGGUAUCAUUAACUGGAUAUGACUCUAUUUAGGGUUAACUACCCCACAUUUGUCACCCUUUUUUAAUAUUCUUAAAGGUUUCCCUGAGUUAACUUCCCCAAGUAUUGUGGUUUAACAUAGCUUGUUUUUUAGUUAAAACCUGUUUUGUCCUCCUCCUAAUUCUUAUCUCAUAACAGAAAGUGAGUAAAUUCUAGUGGGUGCACUGGCAUUUGGCCAGCACUAGACCCACUACAUUAAUUGGUGUGUUGGCUGGAAAACUUGGAUUGGCAAACCAAAACUUAAUUGGUGUUCUGCCCAGUUACUGAAACCACUGCAUCUUUUGGUGGAGAAUGCAUGCAAUUGGUGAAAGCUGUGAGAUAAUGAUUAAUUAGGAGAAAUAAAGGGCAAAGCAAGUAUUAAGUCAUAAGUUUAAAUAGAAUGAUAGUGGAAAAUUUAUGUUGUAAUUAUAGUGAAAUGACUAGAGGUUGGAGGUUAGAGUAAGAAAUUAUUUCCUUCUGUUUAGUUUAGUAAUUUUUAUUGUUCUAAAUAGAAGUUGUAUGUUGGAUAUGAUUUUGAUAAUUUUUAAAUGUGUAUUCACAGAGAUGAGGGGUGGAGAAUGUUGUUGUUUAACAUAGUUUUUGGUAAAGAGAAAAUCCAUCAGUUAUGGAAGUGAUUCUCUGUGAGGACUGCUAACAGCUUCCUCUGGGCCCAUCAGAACCCAUCAUCUGGCUAGUUUUGAAUAUUGACACCUUGUUAAACCACUUAAGGAAGCUGAACACACCCCUGUGUCAUCACAUUUUAAAAUGAACAAAACCCAGGAGAAGCUCUCUUGCUUCCAGCUUUUGAACAGGUAACUGGACACCGGCUGGGCCAGGCUGUGCUUCACCACGUGCCCCCCAUGACCUGGUAGGGCUGGGCUGGGCCCUGCUCUGCUGCAGCACUGGCCACUGAUAAUGGCCCUGCCUAUAUCACACAGAAAACUCAUCAAUUCCUGCAAUUAUGGGGCAUGUCGCAUCUCACGGGCAUUGCUCAUUCCCCUACAGGCCAAGCCAUUGGUGAUCUUGCCCAUGGCACUUGAAGUGCAUUCUUGAAGAACAAAAAGGGACAAUGUCUGGUGAAACCCCACGGAGUAGGGUGGCCAAAGCUCUGUGUACAGUGAAUUGCCUUAUGACAUUGCCAAAAUCCCAAAACCCUCUUAUUUUAAAUAAUUUUUUGUCAUUGCAGUCCUCUAGUGAC
RNA transcript from Passer domesticus (house sparrow), 7204 nucleotides. It is a transcript of the gene named mitotic checkpoint serine/threonine-protein kinase BUB1 beta-like, with no coding region annotated. Lineage: Eukaryota; Metazoa; Chordata; Aves; Passeriformes; Passeridae. The transcript is spliced from 6 exons. The record is from RefSeq and is a predicted model, not a curated record.